CAGUAGUCACGAGUUUGAUCCUGGCUCAGAACGAACGCUGGCGGCAGGCUUAACACAUGCAAGUCGAGCGCCCCCGCAAAGGGGGAGCGGCAGACGGGUGAGUAACGCGUGGGAACAUACCCUUUGGUUCGGAAUAACUCAGGGAAACUUGAGCUAAUACCGGAUACGUCCGUAAGGAGAAAGAUUUAUCGCCAAAGGAUUGGCCCGCGUCCGAUUAGCUAGUUGGUGAGGUAACGGCUCACCAAGGCUACGAUCGGUAGCUGGUCUGAGAGGAUGAUCAGCCACAUUGGGACUGAGACACGGCCCAAACUCCUACGGGAGGCAGCAGUGGGGAAUAUUGGACAAUGGGCGCAAGCCUGAUCCAGCCAUGCCGCGUGAGUGAUGAAGGCCUUAGGGUUGUAAAGCUCUUUUGUCCGGGAAGAUAAUGACUGUACCGGAAGAAUAAGCCCCGGCUAACUUCGUG
Molecule: ribosomal RNA, 463 nt
Filed under: uncultured bacterium
Lineage: Bacteria
Description: bacterial SSU rRNA
Rfam family: Bacterial small subunit ribosomal RNA
Source: RNAcentral